CUCACCAUGGAGUUUGGACUGAGCUGGGUUUUCCUUGUUGCUAUUUUAAAAGGUGUCCAGUGUGAAGUGCAGCUGGUGGAGUCUGGGGGAGGCGUGGUACAGCCUGGGAGGUCCCUGAGACUCUCCUGUGCAGCGUCUGGAUUCACCUUUGAUGAUUAUGCCAUGCACUGGGUCUGUCAAGCUCCAGGGAAGGGUCUGGAGUGGGUCUCUCGUAUUAGUUGGGGUGGUGGUAGCACAUACUAUGCAGAUUCUGUGAAGGGCCGAUUCACCAUCUCCAGAGACAACAGCAAAAUCUCCCUGUAUCUGCAAAUGAACAGUCUGAGAGCUGAGGACACCGCCUUGUAUUACUGUGCAAAAGAUACACAGUGAGGGGAAGUCAGUGAGAGCCCAGACAAAAACCUCCCUGCAGGAAGACAGGAGGGGCCUGCUGCAGAGGCCGCUCAAGACACACUGAGCAUAGGGUUAACUCUGGGACAGGUUGUUCAGGAAGGUUAAGAGCUGGUUUCCUUUCAGAGUCUUCGCAAUUUCUCCAUCUAACAGUUUCCCCAGGAACCCUGUCUAGAUCUGUGAUCGGGAUCUGCUGAAACUGCCUGUGUCACCUUCCUCACCUGUGACUUUGGGGGAGCUGAUUGUGGACACUCCAGUGUGUGGGAUUUCUUGGUGACAGCAAUUGUGUCUUCUGUCUAGGCAUGUCUAGGGCUGGCCAUCAGGAAGGGCAGGCUGGAAUUUUUGGAAAGAGGCGCACCUGCCAUCCACCAGGAAAUUUUUGUUGUCUUUUGUUCUGCUAGAAUUAAAUCAGACACACCAAGGUUAACUAGCACUAUCUUCCUAGCUCGAGAAACUUGAUAGCAGGCUUGAAUAACACUUGUAUGAAACCAUCAGAGCAACACCUAGAAUAGUGUCUGAUUUAAUAGUUGAGACUAUGGUCUAGCCAAGGAGACACAUAAAACAUGAUUUCCAUGGUUGGUUCAUAUUUUAUAUUUAUCAAUAGAAUCUGGCUGGUAUUAUAAACAGCUUUGCCAAAAUAUGUGUGUUAGUGUUGGUCUUCGGAGAAGCAAACUGUGACUGGAUUAGCUUCGUGUACAGUUUCCUUCGUGUACAGUUUCCCUGUCCACUCUUCUGAGAGGAAAUGCAGAGGUGGUGGAAGGGGUCUGGGGUAGCUGAAUGCAUGUGAGGGAAGUCGGUCCCUGAGUGAAGGAGAAAGGGAGGAGGACUGGGUGGAACUUUCCUAAACUUCUGUGUUGUUCUAUGAAGGUCCAGCAAGGUCACUGAAUCAGAGUCGUGUCACGGUUUCCCAUCGGGGACCCAGUGACUCCCAGCAGUGGCUCUGCUCAGAUCAGCGCAGAACUUGUUUGUCUCCUGAGAGUGGAGCACAGGACGUGGCUCCAGCACCAGCCAUGGCAUGGAACAUAGAGAGCAGCCCUGGGUGCCUGGGUCAGGUGCAUUGUGCUCCCUGCAGGUGGACGGAGGGAGGUGCUGACUCAGGGCCCAGAGACUGUGGGUUCUAUACAGAACAUACACUUUUACUUCAUUUCUGUGGAUGACAUAGAAACAAACAUGCAGUCUGUAAACAAUGGUGAUUCCUACAUUUGCCCCAAUUGCUUUAUUCCUUGAUUCUGCAGAAUGUCCUGGCACAGAAUUGCCUUUCUCAUGUGGAAUUGUGAUGUGUGUUGAGGAUGUGUGAUCCCUACUUUCAUUGUUUUCCUCCAUGUACAGAGCUCCUAAAUAGAGUACAGCUGACCCUCCUUCUACACUGUUCCUCUCCUCCCCACAGGAAGAGCAGAUAAUUACCUGAGGCUGAAUCUGAGGUGGGAUCUGUCCUCUGAACCUCAGAGCCUGCAGAGACCCCCAGCUGCAGAUUCAUGGAGUCAGGUGUUUGUACAUGUGGGAACCUUGAGCUGUUCUUUUGUCAGUGAACACUCCUUAGAACUAAUUGUGGGUUCAGAAUUAGGACACCCAUUGAUCUAUCACACCUCAGCUCAUUCUGCCACUCAGAAUCUCCAGAAAUUCAGGAAAUGGUUGAAUGUACAUUUUUGUGACAAAUUUUUCUCAUUUCACUUAGUUGUGAGUUUGGUUAGCAGAAAGUGCUACCAUUUAUGGAUCCCAAACUGAUGAAGCUCAUUUGCUUCAACAGAAGUUAGGAGGCUCCUAAAACUUCUCAUCAGCCCCUCUCUCUGCACUUCAUGUGAAAUUCAGUUUUACCUGGAAUUCUGGUGUGUUGGUUUAGCCAGAUUUCCCCAUCCUCCAUGUCUGAUUUUCCUGGGUAUCUGAUCAGUUUCCUUGCCCUUCACCAUACCUCGGUGACGUCUAAUCACCCUGGCCCAACAUCAAGAAUUCUGACAGGUUGGUUUAAGCAGGAUUGGCUGCGCCCCUGAUGUUUCCUCUCAGUAAUUUUCCAUCUUCCGGACCCCACCCUGCUGCUUGGCUUUAAAUCCCCAUGUUUCCAUUCUGCAUUUGGAGUUCAGCUGAAUCUCUCUCCUCACUGCAAAACACCAUUGCCCUGAUCCCAACACCUACUAUGAGGACCCUGGAUAAAGUCUUCCUUACUGUGCUGGAACAAGUGUCUUUACUUGAUAUUUUUUCUUUAAUAAAUCUACCUUUAGUGCUUCCCUAAUUGCUCAAGGAACCUCAAAAAAUAAAAUAAGUGCGAUUAUC
This is a non-coding RNA of Gorilla gorilla gorilla (western lowland gorilla), 2655 nucleotides long. Lineage: Eukaryota; Metazoa; Chordata; Mammalia; Primates; Hominidae. The record is from the annotation of a RefSeq genome assembly.